GGGCUAUAUGGGUUCAGAUCCCCCUACUGAAAGGGCCCCUGUGUAUGAAGCCACAUAACCAAGGAAGAAAAUCUAGGAUUACUAGUACAUCUUUCUAAAAUACAGUGUGACUUCAUGCACACGGUCACCAAGACCAACCUCACAUUAGCAAAUAUGAGUUUUCAUUUUUGGCCCCCGUGGAACCUCCACCUUCCACGACUUUGCUCCACACCCCGC
This 216-nucleotide long non-coding RNA is filed under the name Capsicum annuum. RNAcentral describes it as "long non-coding RNA (CANN_LNC018613)". The record is from RNAcentral. Lineage: Eukaryota; Viridiplantae; Streptophyta; Magnoliopsida; Solanales; Solanaceae.